This 417-nucleotide ribosomal RNA is filed under the name uncultured bacterium. RNAcentral describes it as "bacterial SSU rRNA". It matches the Rfam family "Bacterial small subunit ribosomal RNA", at positions 28 to 441 of the family's 1533-position model. The record is from RNAcentral.
GAUGAACGCUAGCGGCAGGCUUAAUACAUGCAAGUCGUGGGGCAGCAGGGGUAGCAAUACCCGCUGGCGACCGGCAAACGGGUGCGGAACACGUACGCAACCUUCCUUUAACUGGAGAAUAGCCCCCUCGAAAGAGGGAUUAAUACUCCGUAACAUGUACAUGUGGCAUCACAAGUACAUUAUAGCUCCGGCGGUUAAAGAUGGGCUGCGCCUGAUUAGAUAGUUGGCGGGGUAACGGCCCACCAAGUCUGCGAUCAGUAACUGGUGUGAGAGCACGACCAGUCACACGGGCACUGAGACACGGGCCCAGUCCUACGGGAGGCAGCAGUAAGGAAUAUUGGUCAAUGGACGCAAAGUCUGAACCAGCCAUGCCGCGUGGAGGAUUAAGGCCCUCUGGGUUGUAAACUCCUUUUAUCU